Molecule: long non-coding RNA, 4067 nt
Filed under: Oncorhynchus mykiss (rainbow trout)
Lineage: Eukaryota; Metazoa; Chordata; Actinopteri; Salmoniformes; Salmonidae
Description: lncRNA (ENSOMYG00000054703.1)
Source: RNAcentral
AUGCUUGUCCGAGAGAUAUUGCUGCUCAUUUUAGGUUUUUCGCAUUUUGUUUUUGGUCACUGCUUUCUAACGUCGUUUUUACUUUUUUUCCAGUUCACUCAGGGAGAGCCCCAGAGUUCAUGUGCGCGGAACGUUGCAGAGAGGGCGGGUGAGAGCUGCCAGCUGGCGUGCCAAUGUAGACCCUACCCUCCCCUGCCACCCCCGCCCCCACCUCCUCCACCCCCCAGACUUCUGGUCUUCACUGGUAAGUAUUGGACUUUCCUAUAUGAUGAUUUUGCCAUUGGCCUGAUUGGUUUGCAAAGUAACAUCCCGCUCACUCCACCCUCAGCAAUUAGAUGACUGGCCUUGAUUGAUAGCCUACUAGCCUACUACCGCAAGGCAGAGCAUUGGUAUCACUUCCUGAAAGGUGACAUGACUCGUGAGGUGCUUCCAGCCUUGAUACUUUUCUGCGGGGGUCAGAGGUUGUUGCCAAGUCUCACCCAAAUCAACCCACCACAUACUCAGUGUUCAAGUGGUAGCUGGAUGGAGCUACACAACAGAUGGGUUGGGAUGGGGGUUAGUCUCAACUACAAACCCUUUUUCAAGUUUGAAAACAUCAAACAUUUGCCAAUGUUUAUAUUUUUAAGUAAAUUAUCAGUUGAACUCAUUGAAAAUGAGUAAGUGAGGACGAUUCGUGAACUGGAGCUGUGAACUGCCUGUGGUCACAAACUACACUGCCUCACCAAUAGCAGAUCGUUAUUGCAGGCGAAACGGAUAAGUAAUCUCACCCCUGGAUGUCUAGAAGGCCCCUGUUUGACUAUGCUCAUUUGUUCUGAAUGAGAUAUAAUCUUAUGCGUCAAUGUGGCUGUGCAUACUAAAUGCUACUAUCACAGCUUGGUCUAUGGGCAGCUUAAAUGUAUAGUUCAGCCAAAUUACAAAUGUACUUGUUUCAUUACUUCUAAAGCACUAUAUGGGCAACGAGAGACUGCAAUUCACACUUUGAAUUUGUUAAACAAACCAAUGCCAUCAACUGCUUAGGUCAUUUUCUAACCAAAAAAAAACCAAUGGAAAUGUUACCCUAUUAGCAUGCUAUACUGUAUUUUCAGGCUCAAAUGCCAAAUACCCAAUUUUAUGCUAAUCUGGACCUGAGCAGGAUGGUGUCAACCAGCAGAAGCCAGCAGCACUGUCUGUGUAACCACAGCAUGGCUCUCUGUUUCCUUGUGGGGAGUGAAUUCACCUUUCCCCAGUCUGUGAUAUAGGCCAAAGACGAUCAUAGUCUAAGUUCUUGGCCCCACAGCGUAAACACUGAGAUUAAACCCGCAGUGCAGUUUCCGUUAUCCACAAUUGACUGAACUAGGAGUCCAGCCCCACAGCCCAGUGUCACUGAGUCGACAUGUAGGUAACAUACACCAUAUGUUAUCCGACUCAGGAAUGACCAGGUUUUCUGAAAAUGGAGAUAACUAAAUUAAGUCACUAAGUAUUCAUAUCAUAGCUAUUCCUUCCUCCACUCCUGCCAAUGUUAGCCAUCACCAUCAACAUUAGCUAAGGUCUAAACCCAUAGAAUAGCAUUGAACGCACCUACAUUUUGGCCAGUCAACAGAUUAGCAAAUUGCUUUCCUUCUUUACGCAAUUCAAAUUUUCCUAGAACUGGCCUCUUGGGUUUGAAUUGUGGACCUGGCCGUAAAGUAUGAGGCUGUUAGCGGUGACAGCCUGGCAGCUCCAUCCCAUCUAGUAGUUUAUAUCUUAGAUCUGUCUUUGAGCCUCUAGCUAGCCUGGCCUCAUGCACUGAGAGACUAUUGAUCAGUGAUACUUCGCGGGUAUGGCACGGUGAAGGUUGCGCCAUCAAUCUGCUGUAAUGCUUUUGACAGCUAUUCGUUCCAGGCUUUUGUUUAAACCUUGGGCGAUGGAUGGAGCGAAAAAGAAAACAAGCCAGUGAGAAGUGAGGGAGAAGCUGGGGUUUGUUUUAUUGAUAGUGUGUCUGGUUCCUUGCUCCAGUCAGAAGAGGGCUUUUAUCAUCCUCCCUUUCUCUCUAAAUGUCUCUCUCUACCAUGUCUUUCAUUCAAUUUCUCUGGUAAGUAAAAGGAAACAUUAAUUUCUGGUGUUCAGAUUUACUCUGUUGACAUGACCUGGGAUUUUGAGGCCUUGCUACUUUGUGACAUAAACAAACAUGGUUCUGUGAGACCAUCUCGAAACACCUCCUCCACAGAAGUAUGACUUCUCACUAAGCUUGUGUGGCUGCAUUUAGGAAUGAGGGUGUGUUGAAUGAUAUGGCCUGAAUGGUAUUGUUGUGAAGAUUCGACUUGAGGGCUUUUUGGUGAGAAAAUCUAGUAGGCUUUUUAGGGGUAAGAACAUAAGUAUAUCUAAAAAUGAAUGCCUCAAAUAUGCAUGAGAAAGUUAGGGGCCAACAAAGCCUCCUGCACCUGUCUGUACAGAGAGGGAGAGAGUGAUAAAAGAUUUAAAGGAGAGAGAAUCGUAAAAAAAGAGUAGCUUCAACCACAAAAAAGGCGUUUUAAACGUUCAGCGACCUGGUCUACUUAGCCCUGAUUUUAUUCAAGCCUACAGCCAUCCCCAAAAACUGAGGAUUAAAACUGAAGUUUGGCUCAGGCUGCAGUAAAUUUUAACAUCCAAAGUGACUUGCCGGUGCAGCACAGUGAGGCCCCGCUUGCUGAUGCCUUGUCAUGCACGAGGUCUGAGAGAACCACCGACUCCAGAGUGAGUGUAUCCCCUUGGGUGACCACGGGAAACCUCAGCUCAGCAGCGCUCCGACUCAAACAAACGUGAGUGGGUCUAACGUGUGGCGGCCACCUCAUCUCCCACUAACCCCCCCACCACCUCCCUUUCCCGGCUCAGUGGAAGCAGUGAGGCACCAACACGCAAUUACAAGCCCGGCUCGAGUGGUCAAGUAAGGGGCGGGUACACAACCAAAAUCUACCUUAGUAACAUGGAUGAAGCCUGAGCCGGAAUGUAACUGAAGCUGGCUAAUUUCAGAAAAGCCUGAGUACAUCUAGCUAGAUUUGUAGUUUACCCCUCUGGUAUUGCCAGCAGCAUGCUCUAACCCACUGAGCCAUUGCAACAAUCGUCAUAUCUAUAAGGAGUCAUUAUUCAUACAUACAGUGGGCAUUUGGACCAUUGGGUGUCUGAGCAACCUUAAUUCAUCAAGGACUUUACUUAGGAAUUUACUUAAAUAACAGGGUUUUAUCAAACUAUCCUGUUGGGAAGAUUUAGUCCCGGAUUUCGAGGUUAUAAAUAGACAGCCAUAUUCAAUCCAGGGUGUUCUUUUCCUUAACGAGCAAAGAUUUAUCUCAAAGUACACGGAUCACAAAAGUAUUAUCGCUCUCAUCUUUUCAGCAAUUUGAAGAUGAAUGAUGUUCCGUGAACAGAUAUGUAGGCUAUCUUUAUUUAUCCCCCCGGCUUUUCCUUGGGGCGUUUGUUGUUCACCCUUGCUAAAUAAAGCCGCUGUUGAAAAAAGCCCGGUGACUAUUCAGCCCUUGUUCAUUUUCAAUUAGUCUCGGACCCAUCCGAAAAACUGAAUCCCGUCCCUUCGUCCAUGACGAGACAUGAUGAGGUUUGAAGUGCGCGUGUGAGUAAGUAACGGUGUGACGCGCGCCGCUUUGAUAUGACAAGGGCUCUUCUUUACGUGUCAGCUUCCUCCCUGGAGGCCUGUCGGCUUGACUCCCCCUCCUGCCAAUCAACGUUACAGAGGAGAGGGAGGAGAGAGAUAAAGGGAGAGGGAGAGAAAGACUGAGAGCCCAUCGAGCAUGCCGGGCUAUCAAUCCGCAGGGGCUUUGCGAGUGAGUGUGCUAGCUAGCGUAGAGUUCAUACGCCUGUUUAUGCUAAUUCAGACCAUGUCAAGAGUAAUUAGGCAGCCGGUUCAUGUAGGGAGGGAGAGAGAUUUUUAUUUUUAUUUCACUUUUGUAUAUUAUCUACCUCACUUGCUUUGGCAAUGUUAACACAUGUUUCCCAUGCCAAUAAACCCCCUUGAAUUGAGAGAGAGAGAGAGAGAGAGAGAGAGAGAGAGAGAGAGGCAAUUAAAUAAUAAUUAACACAUGGCUCAAUGGCCAACUUGGUCAAGUAUACAUAGAGAGAGA